This 310-nucleotide signal recognition particle RNA is filed under the name Oryza barthii. RNAcentral describes it as "Plant signal recognition particle RNA". It matches the Rfam family "Plant signal recognition particle RNA". The record is from Rfam by way of RNAcentral. Lineage: Eukaryota; Viridiplantae; Streptophyta; Magnoliopsida; Poales; Poaceae.
GCCGAGCCAAGUAGCGAUGGCUUGUCACCCGAGCGGGGGCAAUAAGGUGGUGCGGAUGCCUGGUCGUUUGCGCUUGUGCCUGGUCCUGUGUUUCGCUCAGUGCGGCCCGCCCGUUCCAAGUUGCGUAGCGUGUAUUGGGCGCCCUGGCGAAAGCUAGAGCGUCCCUGCACCUAGAGUGGCGGGUAUUGCGUGAGGCUGGGUUUCACAGAGCAGCGAGUACCGUCCGCUUCCAACGGUGGAAGGAUAACGGGCCGCUGUAGCCCUGGCCCGCUUCCGGCCCAUGUGCCUUCCAUGGCAGACCACCAUCUUU